This 390-nucleotide ribosomal RNA is filed under the name uncultured bacterium. RNAcentral describes it as "bacterial SSU rRNA". It matches the Rfam family "Bacterial small subunit ribosomal RNA", at positions 29 to 422 of the family's 1533-position model. The record is from RNAcentral.
AUUGAACGCUGGCGGCAUGCUUUACACAUGCAAGUCGAACGGCAGCGCGGGGCAACCUGGCGGCGAGUGGCGAACGGGUGAGUAAUAUAUCGGAACGUACCCAAGAGUGGGGGAUAACGUAGCGAAAGUUACGCUAAUACCGCAUACGAUCCAAGGAUGAAAGUGGGGGACCGCAAGGCCUCAUGCUCCUGGAGCGGCCGAUACCUGAUUAGCUAGUUGGUGAGGAAAGGCUCACCAAGGCGACGAUCAGUAGCUGGUCUGAGAGGACGACCAGCCACACUGGGACUGAGACACGGCCCAGACUCCUACGGGAGGCAGCAGUGGGGAAUUUGGACAAUGGGCGCAAGCCUGAUCCAGCAAUGCCGCGUGAGUGAAGAAGGCCUGGUGUAG